GGAAAUAGCCCUCCAUCAGACCGUACCCUAAACCGACACAGGUGGACUGGUAGAGAAUACCAAGGCGCUUGAGAGAACCACAUUUAAGGAACUCGGCAAAAUACCUCCGUAAGUUCGCGAGAAGGAGGCCCGGUUUUUACGCAAGUAGAGGCCGGGGGCACAAACCAGGGGGUGGCGACUGUUUACUAAAAACACAGGGCUCUGCGAAGUCGUAAGACGACGUAUAGGGUCUGACGCCUGCCCGGUGCCUGAAGGUUAAAAGGAGGAGUGCAAGCUCCGAAUUGAAGCCCAGGUAAACGGCGGCCGUAACUAUAACGGUCCUAAGGUAGCGAAAUUCCUUGUCGGGUAAGUUCCGACCUGCACGAAUGGCGUAACGACUUCCCCGCUGUCUCAAAUGUGGACUCAGCGAAAUUGAAUUACCGGUCAAGAUGCCGGUUACCCGCGGUUAGACGGAAAGACCCCAUGCACCUUUACUAUAGCUUCGCAUUGGCAUCAGACACAGUAUGUGCAGGAUAGGUGGUAGGCUUUGAAGCGGGGACGCCAGUCCUCGUGGAGCCUCCCUUGAGAUACCACCCUUAUUCUGUUUGAUGUCUAACCGCGGUCCAUUAUCUGGAUCCGGGACCCUGCGUGGUGGGUAGUUUGACUGGGGCGGUCGCCUCCCAAAUUGUAACGGAGGCGCGCGAAGGUUGGCUCAGAGCGGUCGGAAAUCGCUCGUUGAGUGCAAUGGCAGAAGCCAGCCUGACUGCAAGACUGACAAGUCGAGCAGAGUCGAAAGACGGCCAUAGUGAUCCGGUGGUCCCGAGUGGAAGGGCCAUCGCUCAACGGAUAAAAGGUACGCUGGGGAUAACAGGCUGAUGGUGCCCAAGAGUCCAUAUCGACGGCACCGUUUGGCACCUCGAUGUCGGCUCAUCUCAUCCUGGGGCUGGAGCAGGUCCCAAG
Molecule: ribosomal RNA, 939 nt
Filed under: marine metagenome
Description: bacterial LSU rRNA
Rfam family: Bacterial large subunit ribosomal RNA
Source: RNAcentral